RNAcentral lists this ribosomal RNA (413 nucleotides) under uncultured bacterium. RNAcentral's name for it is "bacterial SSU rRNA". It matches the Rfam family "Bacterial small subunit ribosomal RNA", at positions 355 to 775 of the family's 1533-position model. The record is from RNAcentral.
UCGAGGAUCUUCGGCAAUGGGCGCAAGCCUGACCGAGCGACGCCGCGUGUGCGAUGAAGGCCUUCGGGUUGUAAAGCACUGUCGAGGGGGAGGAAAGCCCGCAAGGGUUUGACCUAUCCCUGGAGGAAGCACGGGCUAAGUUCGUGCCAGCAGCCGCGGUAAGACGAACCGUGCGAACGUUGUUCGGAAUCACUGGGCUUAAAGGGCGCGUAGGCGGGUGAUCAAGUCAGGGGUGAAAUCUUUCGGCUCAACCGGAAAACAGCCUCUGAUACUGGUCGUCUUGAGUGAGGUAGGGGCAUGUGAACUUCCGGUGGAGCGGUGAAAUGCGUAGAUAUCGGAAGGAACGCCGGUGGCGAAAGCGACGUGCUGGACCUCUUCUGACGCUGAGGCGCGAAAGCUAGGGGAGCAAACGG